RNAcentral lists this ribosomal RNA (253 nucleotides) under uncultured bacterium. RNAcentral describes it as "partial 16S ribosomal RNA". It matches the Rfam family "Bacterial small subunit ribosomal RNA", at positions 524 to 776 of the family's 1533-position model. The record is from RNAcentral.
UACAGAGGUCUCAAGCGUUGUUCGGAUUCAUUGGGCGUAAAGGGUGCGUAGGUGGCGCCGUAAGUCGGGUGUGAAAUUUCGGAGCUUAACUCCGAAACUGCAUUCGAUACUGUGGUGCUCGAGGACUGGAGAGGAGACUGGAAUUCAUGGUGUAGCAGUGAAAUGCGUAGAGAUCAUGAGGAAGACCAGUGGCGAAGGCGGGUCUCUGGACAGUUCCUGACACUGAGGCACGAAGGCCAGGGGAGCAAACGGG